AUUACGAACUGCCAAGCUUGCAGUAAUUUCACCAGAAAGAAGUGUCCACAGAAUAAAAUUGUUAAAAUUUCGUUCCUUAGUCUUGGAUUAUGGAUCUCGUCAAAAGCUCUGCAGACCAGAGAGUGCCAUGCUACACAGGAUCAUUAGCGUUGAAUACCCGGAACGUCUUAAUUUUGAAAUCGUCGUCGUUUGUGCCUCUUACCAGCAAUGAAAUCCUGAAAACAUACCUCAGCAUUUGCAGGAUCGUCUCUUCCACUCCGCCACCCCAGCGAUUGAUAUAUUCUUUGCCAUCGUGCCUGCCGAUGGAUCCUGCGCCACUACGCGCACCGGAUGUGUGCCGGCCGUGAUGCAGCAGAGAGAGAGAGGAGAGUUAAAGAGGAAAAAAAAAGGGCGUUGCGCUCACGGCUUGCCCCUUCAGUCGCUUCUCGUCAUCCGAUCUCUUUGGUGAACUGUUUUUGCUGUUGUUGUUGUUGUUAUUCUCGCUCUUGCCUAACCCCAGUUCUGUUUGAGUGUCUGUGCGCUUGAUUCGGUUCACAGAGUCACAGAGAGCAAAGCUGACAUUGAUUCCGUCAUGGAUGCUGUCUGCUCGCAAGCCGUCAACGAUACCCUCAACGCUAUCAGAAGCGGAGUGUUGAUGGCCAACGGGACGGAUGAUAUGGCGGAUGAAUAUUCUAUACUGGAGAAUGUGCUAGGAGCGAAUUGCACCGAUUGGUGGCUAUCCAGCAUUAACCGGACGUCGAUGGAUUUCCUAGGCGACGAUACGGGCGGCACGAAUUCGUCGUUUUCGGACAAAGAAGAGAAUCCGUCGUAUUUUUCAAGAGACUAUCGCCUUGUCGGCACGUUAUUUCAGGGAUUAAUUCUACUCGUAGGCGUCCUCGGAAAUCUACUCGUUGUCAUGGUCGUCUAUCGAACGCGUUCGAUGCAUUCACCAACCAAUUGCUACCUGGUUAGUUUGGCUGCCGCCGACUGCGUCGUCCUCAUCGCAUCCGUCCCCAACGAAAUUCUCUCGUAUUACGUCAUCGGCAGCCAAUGGAUUUGGGGACCCAUCGGCUGCGCCGUCUUCGUUUUCCUUCAGAAUUUAGGAAUCAACGCGUCGUCGCUGAGUUUGACGGCGUUCACGGUCGAGCGCUACAUCGCCAUCUGCCAUCCGAUGAAGGCGCAAAGCGUUUGCACGGUGAAACGGGCCAAAAAGAUAGUGGGCGGUGUUUGGGCGUUUGCAUUCUGCUAUUCGUCACCUUGGCUGGGCCUCACCAUCACCGAGCCAAUCCAUUACAAAGGAUUUCAAACGGUCGAGCGUUGCGCCAUGAAACUAUCGCGGGAAGAAUACCUGGGUUAUUUCUUUGCCGACAUUGUGGUGUUCUAUUUGGUGCCGUUGCUCAUUUCGUGCGUCCUCUACGGCCUCAUCGCGCGCGUCUUGUUCAACGGCCACUUUAACAAAUACCCAGAGGUCUGCCGGCACGAUAAUCAAUCGUCGGUCGAUCCGACUAAGAGCUCCAGGGUUCAGGUUGUGAAGAUGCUGGUUGUGGUCGUGGUCAUCUUCGCUACGUUAUGGCUGCCCUAUCGUGGCAUGUUGGUGUACAACAGUUUUGCCACCAUGCACUCGAAACCCAGUUUUAUGGACCUCUGGUUCCUCAUGUUUGCCAAAACGUGCGUCUACAUCAACAGUGCCAUCAAUCCCAUCUUGUAUACGGCAAUGUCCAUCAAAUUUCGUCGAGCUUUUCAGCGCAUUCUACUUUGCGGGGAUUGAGCAGAAGAAAAGAAAAAAAGGUUAGCCUUAAUUUAGCAUCAGCUGCGACGUAAUUACAUGAUUUUUCUGCCGACACCCGCAUGCAUCUGUCAUUUAACGCCGCGUGAAAUGCCAAACCUGACGUAACUCUAGCGCACGUAAAGCGUGCAAAAGAAGAACCGGCAUAAAUAAAUACUGUAAAUAUAUUGACCAAGAAAGCUGUUCGUUUUUAUGGAGCCCAAGUGACGUGGGUUGUUCGGCGCGCUUCGCUACACUUUCUGCGGUGAAAACGUAUAGAUACGAGAACGUAUGGAUGUUUUUAAAAAAAUGUUUUUCACCUUUGGCUCGUUUAAUUGCACCUCACAACCCAACUUGCCGGUAACGCGAGUAAUGUUUCCAAACAGCAAAAUUCUCCCUUAAUUAACAUUACAACCCCCUUUUGCUAUUGAAUUCGCAGUUACCGUUGCGUGUGUGAAUACGUUGUACAAAUUGCCCAGCCUCGUAAACACUAGCAGUUUGCGUAGAUUAUAUUCCCCACCCACUAUUUACUUAGGAAGGGAUGUAGUACGUACUAUGAAACUAUUGAAGAGUUCGCUAUUGUUGCGAUUGAAGUGCGUCUAUUUACUCGAGUCCCGGAACACGGUCGUGCAGUUUCCUCUGUCCUCAAGCCCCAGAAAAAAACAACCUCCUUUUGCAAACGGAUAUGAUGUCGCCUGGGCUUUUCCUCUUUUUUUUUUGUACGUCUCUUUUCAUACGUUCAAGAGUCGUACGUUGAAUGACAAGUCAACAAAACUCUUGUCUUUUUCUUUUUGUUCGUUUACUGGGCAACGUUACCAAACCAAGUACAAAACUAUUUUCGUUAACAAUAUAUAUAUAAAAAGUCGAGGACAUACUAGUCUUCCGUCGGGAACGGGAGGCUAUUCAAGUCACUUUGAGAUUGUGUACAAGGGAAUACUUCAGUUGCGAUCGAUUUUGAUACUGGACAUUACCUGGGCUUUCUUCUUUUGGUCAACGUUGCACACGUGCGGAAAAUGCUUGUCCACUAGAAGAUAAAACCCCGUGCUCCCUUGCCGUGCAAAGUUUGUGAACGCGUAUACCGUAACGUAAUAGAGAGAAAAGAAAUAACUGAAGAAUCGCUACUUAAUAUAAAGAGAUUAGUGUACUAUAAGGCGAUUGGGGAUGUUGGGCAAAUAGUUCUGUCUCGUUCUGAUUUAGUUUUACUCGUUUGAGUUUGUACUCGUUGGACGGGAGCUGAAGCAACUUCAGUGGUGUUGUACGCUAGAUGACUCGCAUUAGUAUAUUUAUAGCGUUCGUUUUUAAAAGGAACACCUUUUUCUUGUGGGGGGAAGGAUUAUUUUCUUUAAAGAGGGGGGAAAUAUAUAAUAAAAUGCAGUGUAUAUCUUUAAUAUGUAAGAAGAUCCGUCGUCUGUCUCACCGUUCACGCAAGAGUUGUUCGCUGUAUACGGCAGCUUUAAUGGCCUUUUCUUUUUUUUUUUUUCUCCCGGUACCGAAAUAAAAAUGGCAGAUGUUCUUCUGCACCUAUUUAUACCGACCAAAAUAGAAAGGAAUAAAAGCACAUGCCUGUCGGUAGUUAAAAACAAAAAAAAAGAGAGAAAUGCUGUUGACUGGCAUGCACGACCGUAAAAAAAUGAAAACCCAGUUGGACUUGCCGUGUCACAGCUGGCGCAUUUUCAAACUGAGCCGUCGGCAACGACAUUAUUUUGGCAAAUGCGAUGCCAGUCAUACGAUUCUCUUGUGUCAUCUAAAUGAAUCUAUUGGCCUAUCGCUAAAGAAUCGCUUUGUUUUGUGUGCGUGUGUGUGUGUGGAUCAAAGACAAUAUCCGACGAACUGGAGAGAGAUGAAGACAAAAGGGGAGCAGAUUUAAUAAAUCGAUUGGCAACAGAUUCAUCGAUGCGCUUCAUUAGAGCUCGUCAACACACGACCGACGUUGUCCUAGGAUAUCGUUCUGACGCAGCUCACUCAAUCAGCAGAGAUCACCUGGAACUCAAAUGCGUCAUUUAGGUCACUUGGCCUAAAAGAAGAAGAAGAAAUCCAAGCUAAUGUUUUUUUUAUGUUCAUGGUGGAUGCAUCUCCCAGGUUCCUCUUUUUUUGUCUGGAUCGCUCUGGUCACAUGACAUCCUUCAGCCCGUGAUGUUUUACGUAAGUAUUCACCUGAAAAAGAAAGAAAAAGAUUAUAUGCAGUCCUCUUAUGUAACUUAACACGCACAACAGCAGUCGCUAUGAGUGUGUGUGUGUGUGUGUGUGUGUGUGUAAAGAGCCACCGCAUAGCUCUAUCGAGAAACUGUAUGUAAUGAAUCCUUGUCGGGAUAGUUGAAUGUUUUGUACUUCCAAAUGUGUCGCCCCUCCCCAUCUAGUCUUUUCUCAGACAUUCUCUUCCGAUUGGUAGCAUUACUUCAACCACCCUUGCCCAAUGUACACUAUGUAUCAUUAUUUACGAUCAAUUAAACUAUAUUACCUAA
Molecule: unclassified non-coding RNA, 4206 nt
Filed under: Daphnia magna
Lineage: Eukaryota; Metazoa; Arthropoda; Branchiopoda; Diplostraca; Daphniidae
Description: thyrotropin-releasing hormone receptor, transcript variant X1
Source: RNAcentral